CCUACGGGUGGCAGCAGUGAGGAAUAUUGGUCAAUGGCCGAGAGGCUGAACCAGCCAAGUCGCGUGAGGGAAGACGGCCCUACGGGUUGUACACCUCUUUUGUCGGGGAGCAAAGCGAGUCACGUGUGACGCAUUGAGAGUACCCGAAGAAAAAGCAUCGGCUAACUCCGUGCCAGCAGCCCCGGCAAUAGGGGGGAUGCGAGCGUUAUCCGGUUUGAUUGGGUUAAAGGGGUGCGCCGGCGGAGGUGCAAGUCAGCGGUAAAAUUCCGGGGCUCAACCCCGGAAUGACGAUGAAAAGGCAUGGCUUGAGUGCGCGAGAAGUACGCGGAAUGCCAGGUGUAGCGGGGAAAUGCAUAGAUAUAACGCAGAACUCCGAUUGCGAAGGCAGCAUACCGGCGCGCAACUGACGCUCAUGCACGAAAGCGUGGGUAUCGAACAGGAUUAGAUACCCGAGUAGUC
RNAcentral lists this ribosomal RNA (459 nucleotides) under uncultured bacterium. RNAcentral describes it as "partial 16S ribosomal RNA". It matches the Rfam family "Bacterial small subunit ribosomal RNA", at positions 338 to 795 of the family's 1533-position model. The record is from RNAcentral.